This 442-nucleotide ribosomal RNA is filed under the name uncultured bacterium. RNAcentral's name for it is "bacterial SSU rRNA". It matches the Rfam family "Bacterial small subunit ribosomal RNA", at positions 338 to 795 of the family's 1533-position model. The record is from RNAcentral.
CCUACGGGAGGCUGCAGUGGGGAAUCUUCCUCAAUGGCCGAAAGGCUGAAGGAGCGACGCCGCGUGUAUGAUGAAGCCCUCCGGGGCGUAAAAUACUUUUAACAGGGACGAAAUACUGACGGUACCUGUUGAAUAAGGGGCUGCUAACCUCGUGCCAGCAGCAGCGGUAAUACGAGGGCCCCAAGCAUUAUCCGGAUUUAUUGGGCGUAAAGAGUGUGUAGGCGGUUUAUAACAUCUCCUGUUAAAUCUCAAGGCUCAACCUUGAGGCCGCGGGAGAUAUGGAUAAACUAGAGUUCGGAAGAGGCAAGUGGAAUUGCUGGUGUAGGGGUUAAAUCCGUUAAUAUCAGCAGGAACACCAAAAGCGAAGGCAGCUUGCUGGGACGACACUGACGCUGAGACACGAAAGCGUGGGGAGCGAAUGGGCUUAGAUACCCUGGUAGUC